RNAcentral lists this ribosomal RNA (367 nucleotides) under uncultured organism. Its description in RNAcentral is "bacterial SSU rRNA". It matches the Rfam family "Bacterial small subunit ribosomal RNA", at positions 526 to 896 of the family's 1533-position model. The record is from RNAcentral.
CGGAGGGUGCAAGCGUUAUCCGGAUUUACUGGGUUUAAAGGGUGUGUAGGCGGGUCUUUAAGUCAGUGGUGAAAUCUCCGAGCUCAACUUGGAAACUGCCAUUGAUACUAUUGAUCUUGAAUUUGUUGAGGUAGGCGGAAUAAGUCAUGUAGCGGUGAAAUGCAUAGAUAUGACUUAGAACACCAAUUGCGAAGGCAGCUUGCUAAACAAAUAUUGACGCUGAGGCACGAAAGCGUGGGGAUCAAACAGGAUUAGAUACCCUGGUAGUCCACGCCCUAAACGAUGAUUACUCGACAUACGCGAUACACUGUGUGUGUCUGAGCGAAAGCAUUAAGUAAUCCACCUGGGAAGUACGACCGCAAGGUUG